Molecule: transfer RNA, 67 nt
Filed under: marine eukaryotic metagenome
Rfam family: tRNA
About the family: Transfer RNA (tRNA) molecules are approximately 80 nucleotides in length.
Source: RNAcentral
GGGCGUAACUCAGCGGUAGAGUGCUUGCUUCCCAAGCAAGAUGUCGUGGGUUCAAAUCCCAUCGCCC